GUCGUGACUGCGUGCCUUUUGAAGAAUGAGCCUGCGAGUUAGCGGUGUGUAGCGAGGUUAACCCGUGUGGGGAAGCCGUAGCGAAAGCGAGUCCGAAUAGGGCGUUUGAGUUGCACGCUCUAGACCCGAAGCGGAGUGAUCUAGCCAUGGGCAGGUUGAAGCGGAGGUAAGACUUCGUGGAGGACCGAACCCACCAGGGUUGAAAACCUGGGGGAUGACCUGUGGUUAGGGGUGAAAGGCCAAUCAAACUCCGUGAUAGCUGGUUCUCCCCGAAAUGCAUUUAGGUGCAGCGUCGUGUGUUUCUUGCCGGAGGUAGAGCACUGGAUAGGCGAUGGGCCCUACCGGGUUACUGACCUUAGCCAAACUCCGAAUGCCGGUAAGUGAGAGCGCGGCAGUGAGACUGUGGGGGAUAAGCUCCAUGGUCGAGAGGGAAACAGCCCAGAGCAUCGACUAAGGCCCCUAAGCGUACGCUAAGUGGGAAAGGAUGUGGAGUCGCAGAGACAACCAGGAGGUUGGCUUAGAAGCAGCCACCCUUGAAAGAGUGCGUAAUAGCUCACUGGUCAAGUGAUUCCGCGCCGACAAUGUAGCGGGGCUCAAGCGUACCGCCGAAGUCGUGUCAUUCAUACACAUAUCCUCAACGGGAGUAUGGAUGGGUAGGGGAGCGUCGUGUGCCGGGUGAAGCAGCCGCGGAAGCGAGUUGUGGACGGUUCACGAGUGAGAAUGCAGGCAUGAGUAGCGAUACACACGUGAGAAACGUGUGCGCCGAUUGACUAAGGGUUCCUGGGUCAAGCUGAUCUGCCCAGGGUAAGUCGGGACCUAAGGCGAGGCCGACAGGCGUAGUCGAUGGACAACCGGUUGAUAUUCCGGUACCCGCUUUGAAACGCCCAGUACUGAAUCAGGCGAUGCUAAGUCCGUGAAGCCGGCCCGAUCUCUUCGGAGUUGAGGGUAGUGGUGGAGCCGAUGAACCAGACUUGUAGUAGGUAAGCGAUGGGGUGACGCAGGAAGGUAGUCCAGCCCGGGCGGUGGUUGUCCCGGGGUAAGGGUGUAGGACGCACGGUAGGCAAAUCCGUCGUGCAUAUAGUCUGAGACCUGAUGCCGAGCCGAUUGUGGUGAAGUGGAUGAUCCUAUGCUGUCGAGAAAAGCCUCUAGCGAGUUUCAUGGCGGCCCGUACCCUAAACCGACUCAGGUAGUCAGGUAGAGAAUACCGAGGCGUUCGGGUGAACUAUGGUUAAGGAACUCGGCAAAAUGCCCCCGUAACUUCGGGAGAAGGGGGGCCAUCACUGGUGAGGGGACUUGCUUCCUGAGCUGGGGG
Molecule: ribosomal RNA, 1312 nt
Filed under: Streptomyces sp. DpondAA-E10
Lineage: Bacteria; Bacillati; Actinomycetota; Actinomycetes; Kitasatosporales; Streptomycetaceae
Description: bacterial LSU rRNA
Rfam family: Bacterial large subunit ribosomal RNA
Source: RNAcentral